AACGAACGCUGGCGGCAUGCCUAACACAUGCAAGUCGAACGAGACCUUCGGGUCUAGUGGCGCACGGGUGCGUAACGCGUGGGAAUCUGCCCUUAGGUACGGAAUAACUCAGGGAAACUUGUGCUAAUACCGUAUGAUGACGAAAGUCCAAAGAUUUAUCGCCUAAGGAUGAGCCCGCGUAGGAUUAGCUUGUUGGUGAGGUAAAAGCUCACCAAGGCGACGAUCCUUAGCUGGUCUGAGAGGAUGAUCAGCCACACUGGGACUGAGACACGGCCCAAACUCCUACGGGAGGCAGCAGUGGGGAAUAUUGGACAAUGGGCGCAAGCCUGAUCCAGCCAUGCCGCGUGAGUGAUGAAGGCCCUAGGGUUGUAAAGCUCUUUUGUGCGGGAAGAUAAUGACGGUACCGCAAGAAUAAGCCCCGGCUAACUUCGUG
Molecule: ribosomal RNA, 433 nt
Filed under: uncultured bacterium
Lineage: Bacteria
Description: bacterial SSU rRNA
Rfam family: Bacterial small subunit ribosomal RNA
Source: RNAcentral